RNAcentral lists this ribosomal RNA (841 nucleotides) under Streptomyces sp. RNAcentral describes it as "bacterial SSU rRNA". It matches the Rfam family "Bacterial small subunit ribosomal RNA", at positions 56 to 914 of the family's 1533-position model. Lineage: Bacteria; Bacillati; Actinomycetota; Actinomycetes; Kitasatosporales; Streptomycetaceae. The record is from RNAcentral.
UGCAGUCGACGAUGAAGCCCUUCGGGGUGGAUUAGUGGCGAACGGGUGAGUAACACGUGGGCAAUCUGCCCUUCACUCUGGGACAAGCCCUGGAAACGGGGUCUAAUACCGGAUAUCACUCCCGCAGGCAUCUGUGGGGGUUGAAAGCUCCGGCGGUGAAGGAUGAGCCCGCGGCCUAUCAGCUUGUUGGUGAGGUAACGGCUCACCAAGGCGACGACGGGUAGCCGGCCUGAGAGGGCGACCGGCCACACUGGGACUGAGACACGGCCCAGACUCCUACGGGAGGCAGCAGUGGGGAAUAUUGCACAAUGGGCGAAAGCCUGAUGCAGCGACGCCGCGUGAGGGAUGACGGCCUUCGGGUUGUAAACCUCUUUCAGCAGGGAAGAAGCGAGAGUGACGGUACCUGCAGAAGAAGCGCCGGCUAACUACGUGCCAGCAGCCGCGGUAAUACGUAGGGCGCAAGCGUUGUCCGGAAUUAUUGGGCGUAAAGAGCUCGUAGGCGGCUUGUCACGUCGGGUGUGAAAGCCCGGGGCUUAACCCCGGGUCUGCAUUCGAUACGGGCUAGCUAGAGUGUGGUAGGGGAGAUCGGAAUUCCUGGUGUAGCGGUGAAAUGCGCAGAUAUCAGGAGGAACACCGGUGGCGAAGGCGGAUCUCUGGGCCAUUACUGACGCUGAGGAGCGAAAGCGUGGGGAGCGAACAGGAUUAGAUACCCUGGUAGUCCACGCCGUAAACGGUGGGAACUAGGUGUUGGCGACAUUCCACGUCGUCGGUGCCGCAGCUAACGCAUUAAGUUCCCCGCCUGGGGAGUACGGCCGCAAGGCUAAAACUCAAAGGAAUUGAC